GAUGAACGCUGGCGGCGUGCCUAAUACAUGCAAGCCGAGCGAACGGACGAGAAGCUUGCUUCUCUGAUGUUAGCGGCGGACGGGUGAGUAACACGUGGAUAACCUACCUAUAAGACUGGGAUAACUUCGGGAAACCGGAGCUAAUACCGGAUAAUAUUUUGAACCGCAUGGUUCAAAAGUGAAAGACGGUCUUGCUGUCACUUAUAGAUGGAUCCGCGCUGCAUUAGCUAGUUGGUAAGGUAACGGCUUACCAAGGCAACGAUGCAUAGCCGACCUGAGAGGGUGAUCGGCCACACUGGAACUGAGACACGGUCCAGACUCCUACGGGAGGCAGCAGUAGGGAAUCUUCCGCAAUGGGCGAAAGCCUGACGGAGCAACGCCGCGUGAGUGAUGAAGGCCUUCGGAUCGUAAAACUCUGUUAUUAGGGAAGAACAUAUGUGUAAGUAACUGUGCACAUCUUGACGGUACCUAAUCAGAAAGCCACGGCUAACUACGUG
This 497-nucleotide ribosomal RNA is filed under the name uncultured bacterium. Its description in RNAcentral is "partial 16S ribosomal RNA". It matches the Rfam family "Bacterial small subunit ribosomal RNA", at positions 28 to 507 of the family's 1533-position model. The record is from RNAcentral.